CAUUACCGGGCGCUAUAAUGCAGUCGAGCGAGAAGACGUAGCAAUACGUUUGUAAAGCGGCGAACGGGUGAGGAAUACAUGGGUAACCUACCCUCGAGUGGGGAAUAACUAGCCGAAAGGUUAGCUAAUACCGCAUACGACUCUCGGUCUGCGGAUCGGGAGAGAAAGCGAUACCGUGGGUAUCGCGCUCUUGGAUGGGCUCAUGUCCUAUCAGCUUGUUGGUGAGGUAACGGCUCACCAAGGCUUCGACGGGUAGCUGGUCUGAGAGGACGAUCAGCCACACUGGCACUGCGACACGGGCCAGACUCCUACGGGAGGCAGCAGUAAGGAAUAUUGCGCAAUGGGCGACAGCCUGACGCAGCGACGCCGCGUGGGGGAUGAAGGUCUUCGGAUUGUAAACCCCUUUCGGCAGGGAAGAUGGAACGGGUAACCGUUCGGACGGUACCUGCAGAAGCAGCCACGGCUAACUUCGUGCCAGCAGCCGCGGUAAUACGAAGGUGGCAAGCGUUGUUCGGAUUUACUGGGCGUACAGGGAGCGUAGGCGGUUGGGUAAGCCCUCCGUGAAAUCUCCGGGCCUAACCCGGAAAGGGCGGAGGGGACUGCUCGGCUAGAGGAUGGGAGAGGAGCGCGGAAUUCCCGGUGUAGCGGUGAAAUGCGUAGAGAUCGGGAGGAAGGCCGGUGGCGAAGGCGGCGCUCUGGAACAUUUCUGACGCUGAGGCUCGAAAGCGUGGGGAGCAAACAGGAUUAGACACCCUGGUAGUCCACGCCUUAAACGAUGGAUACUAAGUGUCGGCGGGUUACCGCCGGUGCCGCAGCUAACGCAUUAAGUAUCCCGCCUGGGAAGUACGGCCGCAAGGUUGAAACUCAAAGGAAUUGACGG
Molecule: ribosomal RNA, 880 nt
Filed under: uncultured Nitrospira sp.
Lineage: Bacteria; Pseudomonadati; Nitrospirota; Nitrospiria; Nitrospirales; Nitrospiraceae
Description: bacterial SSU rRNA
Rfam family: Bacterial small subunit ribosomal RNA
Source: RNAcentral